GACACUAGUACGAGAGGACCGUGUUGGACAGACCUCUGGUUUGCCGGUUGUGCCGCCAGGUGCAUUGCCGGGUAUCUACGUCUGGAUCGGAUAAGUGCUGAAAGCAUCUAAGCACGAAGCCGGCCACAAGAUUAGAUUUCCUUUGAGGGUCGUCAUAGACGAUGACGUUGAUAGGAGGCAGGUGUAAAGACGGUGACGUCAAAGCCGAGCCUUACUAAUUGCCCGAAAGCUUUCGCUCA
This 239-nucleotide ribosomal RNA is filed under the name Bacteroidaceae bacterium. Its description in RNAcentral is "partial 23S ribosomal RNA". It matches the Rfam family "Bacterial large subunit ribosomal RNA", at positions 2674 to 2925 of the family's 2925-position model. Lineage: Bacteria; Pseudomonadati; Bacteroidota; Bacteroidia; Bacteroidales; Bacteroidaceae. The record is from RNAcentral.